This 496-nucleotide ribosomal RNA is filed under the name uncultured bacterium. Its description in RNAcentral is "partial 16S ribosomal RNA". It matches the Rfam family "Bacterial small subunit ribosomal RNA", at positions 28 to 506 of the family's 1533-position model. The record is from RNAcentral.
GAUGAACGCUGGCGGCGUGCCUAAUACAUGCAAGUCGAGCGAACGGACGAGAAGCUUGCUUCUCUGAUGUUAGCGGCGGACGGGUGAGUAACACGUGGAUAACCUACCUAUAAGACUGGGAUAACUUCGGGAAACCGGAGCUAAUACCGGAUAAUAUUUUGAACCGCAUGGUUCAAAAGUGAAAGACGGUCUUGCUGUCACUUAUAGAUGGAUCCGCGCUGCAUUAGCUAGUUGGUAAGGUAACGGCUUACCAAGGCAACGAUGCAUAGUCGACCUGAGAGGGGGAUCGGCCACACUGGAACUGAGACACGGUCCAGACUCCGACGGGAGGCAGCAGGAGGGAAUCUUCCGCAAUGGGCGAAAGCCUGACGGAGCAACGCCGCGUGGGUGAUGAAGGUCUUCGGAUCGUAAAACUCUGUUAUUAGGGAAGAACAUAUGUGUAAGUAACUGUGCACAUCUUGACGGUACCUAAUCAGAAAGCCACGGCUAACUACGU